Molecule: ribosomal RNA, 497 nt
Filed under: uncultured bacterium
Lineage: Bacteria
Description: partial 16S ribosomal RNA
Rfam family: Bacterial small subunit ribosomal RNA
Source: RNAcentral
GAUGAACGCUGGCGGCGUGCCUAAUACAUGCAAGUCGAGCGAACAGACGAGGAGCUUGCUCCUCUGACGUUAGCGGCGGACGGGUGAGUAACACGUGGAUAACCUACCUAUAAGACUGGGAUAACUUCGGGAAACCGGAGCUAAUACCGGAUAACAUGUUGAACCGCAUGGUUCAACGGUGAAAGACGGUCUUGCUGUCACUUAUAGAUGGAUCCGCGCCGCAUUAGCUAGUUGGUAAGGUAACGGCUUACCAAGGCAACGAUGCGUAGCCGACCUGAGAGGGUGAUCGGCCACACUGGAACUGAGACACGGUCCAGACUCCUACGGGAGGCAGCAGUAGGGAAUCUUCCGCAAUGGGCGAAAGCCUGACGGAGCAACGCCGCGUGAGUGAAGAAGGUCUUCGGAUCGUAAAACUCUGUUAUUAGGGAAGAACAAAUGUGUAAGUAACUAUGCACGUCUUGACGGUACCUAAUCAGAAAGCCACGGCUAACUACGUG